GCCUGGCUGGCUCAGUUGGUAGGGCACGUGACUCUUGAUCUCAGGGUCAUGAGUUUGAGUCCCAUGUUGGGCA
Molecule: transfer RNA, 73 nt
Filed under: Felis catus (domestic cat)
Lineage: Eukaryota; Metazoa; Chordata; Mammalia; Carnivora; Felidae
Also listed under: 2 other names
Rfam family: tRNA
About the family: Transfer RNA (tRNA) molecules are approximately 80 nucleotides in length. Their secondary structure includes four short double-helical elements and three loops (D, anti-codon, and T loops).
Source: Rfam by way of RNAcentral